UUUUAGAGGAGGGAAGGAAGGUGGAAGAUGAGACAGGAGAGAAAGGCACAGAAUCCAGAAAUGCCGGCAGCCAGUGGUCCCAGCCAGGCCUGCCUCCUGUGGACAGGUUCAUCUGAUCUUCACAAACUGCUAUUGCUCUCUUGAUGUACAUUAAAGAGAUCUUUAAUUUCUAAAGAAUUAGUUUAGGAAGUCCUCACCAGAGCAAUCAGGCGGGAGAAAAAAAUAAAAGGCAUCCAGAUUGGAAAAGAGGAAGUCAAAUUAUCCCUGUUCAUUGAUGAUAUGAUGUUACAUCUAGAAAACCCUAAAGACUCCACAAAAAAAAAUCCUUAGGUUUGAUAAAUAAAUUCAGUAAAGUUUCAGGAUACAAAAAAAUUAAUGUACAGAAAUCAGUAGUGUUUCUAUACACUGAUAAGAAUCUAGCUGAGGACCAAAUCAAGAAAGCAAUUCCAUUUACAAUAGCUACAACAGCAACAACAACAAAACUAAACAAAACCUAGAAAUAUGCUUUACCAAGGAAAUGAAAGAUCUCUAUAAGGAGGACUACAAAACACUGAUUAAAGAAAUUGUACAAGACUCAAACAAAUAAAGCAUCCCAUGCUCAUGGAUUAGAAGAAUCAAUAUUGUUAAAAUGACCAUACUGCCCAAAGCAAUCCACCGACUCAAUGCAACCCCUAUCAAAUUAUGAAUGUUGUUUUUCAGAGUCAGAAAAAACAAUACCAAAAUUCAUAUGGAAUCAAAAAAGAGCCUGAAUCAUCAAAAAACCUCACCAAAAAGAACAAAGCUGAAGGCAACAUAUUGUCUGACUUCAAAUUAUAUUACAAGGCUGUAGUAACCAAAACAGCAUGGCACUGCUAUAAAAACAGACACAUGGAUCAAUGGAACAGAAUAAAAAGCCUAGAAAUAAAGCCACCCUCUUACAAUCAACUGAUCUUCAACAAAGUUGACAAAAAUAUACACUGGGGAAAGAACAUUCUAUUCAAUAAAUGAUGCUGUGAAAAUUGGAUAGUCAUGCAGAAGAAGGAAACUAGAUGCAUACCUCUCACCAUAUAUAAAAAUUAACUCAAGAUGGAUUGAAGACCUAAACAUAAGUUGAAACUGUAAAAAUCCUAGAAGAAAACCUAUGAAAAACUCUUCUGGACAUUGGCCUAGGCAAAGAAUUUACGACCAGGUCCUCAAACAAACAAAACAACAACAAGAAUAACAAAACCAAAAAUAAAGAAGAUGUAAUUAAACUAAAAACUUCUGCACAGCAGAAGAAACAAUCAACAGAGUAAACAGACAACCUGUAGAAUGGGAAACAAUAUUUGCACACUAUGCAUCUUACAAAGGGCUAAUAUCUAGGAUCUGUAAGGCACUCAAACAACUCAACAAGAAAACCCCAUUAAAAAUUGGGCAAAGGACAUGAGCAGACCUUUUUUGAAAGAAGACAUACAAGCAGCCAACAAACAUAUGAAAACACUGCUCAACAUCACUAAUCAUCAGAGAAAUGCAAAUUAAAACCACAAUGAGACGCCAUCUUACACCAUCAGAAUGGCUAUUAUUAAAAAGUCAAAAAACAACAGAUAUUGGCAAGGAUGUGGAAAAAAGAGUAUACUUACACACUGUUGGUGGGAAUGUAAAUUAGUACAACCUUUAUGGGAAAUAAUAUGGAGAUUUCUUAAAGAACUAAAAAUAGAACUAUCUUUCAAUCCAGCAACUGAGUAUCUACCCAAAGGGAAAGAAAUAAUUAUAUUAAAAUGAUACCUGCACUCAUAUGUUUAUUGUAACACUAUUCACAAUAGGAAAGAUAUGGAAUCAACUUAAGUGUCCAUUAAUGGAGGACUAGAUAAAGAAAAUGUUAUACACACACACACCCACACACACAAACACACCCACACACACCCCACGGAAUACUACUCAGCCAUCAAAAAGAAUGAAAUCAUGUCUUUUGCAGCAACAUACAUGGAACUGGAGGCCAUUACCCUAAGUGAAAUAACUCAAACAGAAAAUCAAAUGCCACAUGUUCUCACUUAUAAGUGAGAGCUGAACAAUGGGUACCCAUGGAUGUAUAGAGUGGAAUAAUAGACACCAAAGGCUACAAAAGGUGGGAAAGUUGGGAGGGGAUUGAGGGAUGGAAAAUUCCUAUUGGGUACAAUGUUCACUAUUCAGGUGAUGGGUACACUAAAAGACCAGGUGUCACCACUAUGCAAUAUAUGUAUAUAAAAA
This 2205-nucleotide long non-coding RNA is filed under the name Homo sapiens (human). Its description in RNAcentral is "HSALNT0094575". Lineage: Eukaryota; Metazoa; Chordata; Mammalia; Primates; Hominidae. The record is from RNAcentral.